Molecule: ribosomal RNA, 253 nt
Filed under: uncultured bacterium
Lineage: Bacteria
Description: partial 16S ribosomal RNA
Rfam family: Bacterial small subunit ribosomal RNA
Source: RNAcentral
GACGAACCGUGCGAACGUUGUUCGGAAUCACUGGGCUUAAAGGGCGCGUAGGCGGGCGUGACAGUCAGGGGUGAAAGCCCACGGCUCAACCGUGGAAGUGCCUUUGAUACUUCAUGCCUUGAGGGAGGUAGGGGCGUGCGGAACUUCCGGUGGAGCGGUGAAAUGCGUAGAUAUCUGGAGGAACACCGGUGGCGAAGGCGGCAUCCUGGACCGAUACUGACGCUGAGGAGCGAAAGCCAGGGGAGCAAACGGG